This is a non-coding RNA of Colius striatus (speckled mousebird), 132 nucleotides long. Lineage: Eukaryota; Metazoa; Chordata; Aves; Coliiformes; Coliidae. The record is from Rfam.
UGCCUCGUUAUUCAGGAAAUGGACACAACUGACUGUGUGUCUGAAUUGAAAAACGUGGCUAGAAGAGUAACAGGUUAUGCUUUCCCCACUGCACACUUCAUUGCAGUGGUGACAAUGAGACCUGUGACAGAU